Long non-coding RNA from Gopherus flavomarginatus (Mexican gopher tortoise), 3471 nucleotides. RefSeq lists it as uncharacterized. The transcript is spliced from 3 exons. The record is from RefSeq and is a predicted model, not a curated record. Lineage: Eukaryota; Metazoa; Chordata; Testudines; Testudinidae.
CUCUUGUUUUCCUGAAAGUUGUUUUUUAUUUAUUUGUUUGUUUAAAAAAGCUUUCUACAGGGUCACAAGACCAGGGUUUGAAAAAUUUCCCUAACACUAGCUCAACAACCAAGUCCAGGUGAAAAAAGUGCAUUGCCACUCCCACUGGAAAACAAAACACAAAAUACGCUCAGGCAAUGCAAAGGAAUAAAACAGUUGUGCGUUGUAUGUAACUGUAGCGUUUGGCAAUCAAAAUUCUGUUUAAUAAGCUUUUUAAAAAAAAAAAAGUAACUCUCUGCCUCUUGUGCUCUUCUUAUACUUUUUUCUGGUUUCAUUCCACACUCUCUCCUACUAUAAGUUAUGUAAUAUUUUGAGUAUAGUAUUACCUCAUUUUUCCUUUUCUCUGUAUCUUGUUCGUUCUUUUUUCUGUAUUGUAUUCCUUUUUCUUUCCCCAAACUUUGUAUGUUCUGUCUCACAAUUCUAAUUUAUCUUCUCUAUCUCAUCCUCUGUUGCACAUUUCCCCUCACAUUCACAUCUCUAUACCUUUAUGCACCUUCAUCCAGCUCAUGCACAUGACAUGCACGUCUCUCUCUCCCUUUCUCCCCAUUCCUGGUUCUUCCCCCUCUUACUUUCCAGUUAAAACAGCAAUGGCCCUUGAUUUCCUCUUUCUGAUGAAAGGGCAGUGGGUUCCGACCAUUCUGCUCUCCUACUCCCAUCUUAAGCAAAUGGGACUGGCCCCUGGAAUGUUCUUUCAUGCUCUUCCUUCCUUUUAAAGGAGCAGUAGGAGCCCCUAUGCAGCCCUAAUCCCAUGCUUUCCCCCUUCCUGUAGGAGGAAGAAGCUAGGAGCGGCAAAGGCUUUGUUCGCUGGCCUCAUUCAGUUCGCUCACCUGCUCCAACUUUUAACUUCCCCUGAAUUGGGAAAAUGGGUAAUUUUUUCAAGCCCAGCCUGUAGUAUGCCUUCGGCUAUACCUCCAUUAGGAUUCUCAGUGAAUCUCCCACCAAUAUUAGCACUAAUGGGACUCCUAGUGUAGAUGAGGCUUUUGCAUCUGAAUCAGUUUCUAACUUCCCUGAUAGAUUAAGUUGACAGGAUGCUAGUUAGAGGUAUUUUUGAAAAAUUGUCUGUCUGAAACCAUUGUUUUCAACAUUGUCUUAAGAAGAUGCCCCAAAUUAGUAUUUUGGUGCUUGUCUCUUCCUACAUAUUUGUUCCACUUUUUGUUUUACUUUAGAUGUUUAAGGGAUGUCGAAUUUGGCCUUCAGCAAAACAAGGGAAGGGCUUGUGGGUCUCUGAAGAUGUAUUUUGAGCUGUCAUGCUAAAUGACAUUGUGGAAAAUAUUUUGUAUAAUUUGCAAUCAGCCAGAGGCCUUGAGUAGGAUGGAGCCCCAUUGUGCUAGGCACUAUACAAAUAUAUAAUAAACAAGUCUCUGCCUCCAAAAGGCGUACAGUCUUGUUGAAUAACAACAUCAUUCUUUAUCCAAAGUAUUUAUUGGGUGUUGAGGGUAAACAGACUUCAGACUAAAAAGUGGAUUUUAAACAGUCACCCUACUUGGCUACUAAGCUUUCAACUGUUGUAAUUACUAAAUAUCAUUAGUUUUCCAGUGACCUUAAGCCAUAUUUACCCAGGGAAUUUUCCAAAAAAAAGCAUUACUAAUUCCUGUUCACAGCACUGUUAAUAGCAUUGGUAGCUGUAAUGCAGCUGGCUCUCUGGUAAUAGUUUUCAGCACUGUCUUGACACAUUGCUGCCAUGUAAUCAUGCUGAGCAAUGUUAUCUAUGACUUUACCAUGUUGGAGUCUGGUUGCAUUUAAUGUUGUUCCAUGUGUAGAUAGGGCUUUAGAAUAGAAAUAAAGGUUGACCAAAAGGUGGUGAAUCUUGAGCUGCUCUCCUAUAACUUGAAACUAAGAAGCCCUGGGUUGAAUUAAGAACUUGACUGACCAGCAAAUUUUAAACUUGGUUAAACUGUACUGUUAUCUUAGAGGCAGGGUUUAAAGUCAGUGGGGGAGGGAGGAACUGUGGUGGAACACAGUUACUUCUUUAUAAACAGCAGACUUUGGCUUCAUUUCUCAGGCUCGAGGGAGUGCAUUUUUCUCAGGGUUCCCCUUUCUUAGUGGCUGGUGAGGUGAGGACUUGCCAAGCAGAGGAAUCUGAAUUGUGAGCAAGAGGAAUUGCUAUUGUCUGCCUGGGAAAUUUCUGGUCCUUCAUGCCUUCUUCCCAGUAGGUGGAACAGCAGCAUCAGCUGAUCAGAGAUGAAGUCCCUUAUCUGUCUUUCCUGCAAAAGUUCUUUCCAUUAACAGGUCCAAGAGGAGGAGAGGCUAGAAGAGCAGACACCAAAUCCUUCAGCAGUUCUCUUCCUUUCUCCACAUUCCAGAGGGGAACAAUUCCAGGAUUCCUGUAACAGCUUAUCUCCCUCUCCCUUCAGUGUCCUGUAGUGAAGUAGAUAUGGGCUUAAGUAAAUUUUGGUGAGUGCAACACAUCACCACAAGAUGAUGCAGUGCCACAUCACAACAUUACUUUGAGACCUGUCACCAAGACCACCAAAACUGACCCCAGAGGAGACCCCUCAGACUGCGUGAUUCAACUCCUACUCCUGUCUGGCUGUGCUGAUCUGUUGGGGCAGUAGGCUUCAAUUGUUUCAGCUGUUGAUAAACAAAGAGGCAUUUAGCCUGAAUGGAAGGUGGUUAUGUUUGUGACUUGGCAAACCAACUAACCAUAACUUAAUAAGUGGCAUUGCAAUUGUAAUCAGGAUAAUUCAUUUGUGUGCAUAUUAAAGAAAAUUAAUUAGCCUAGCAAUCUCAAACCCAUUCACUUUGUAUCGAUAAGAAUAAUUACGAAGUGUUUGUCUUUUUAUUUAUAUCCUGUUAGAAGUUUUCCAAUGUAAUCAAACUAGAUUGUAGAUAUUAAGUCCCAUUCAUGUCUUAAUUGCCUUUACAUUAUAUAUGCUACUGUAUAAAGUUAACCUUAAGAUCAAAGAUAUGAGAUAUUGCAGGAAACUAAUAAUAUCUAUGUUGUCUUCAUUUUCUCUAUCCCUGUUACAAUAAAUGACCGGCAGUGGCCUUAUGUAAAUCGAUGUAACUAGAUUACCUGUCUAUGCACAGAAAAUAGAAUUUUAACUUCAAAGGAUGGGUCAGUGUGUGCUCAAGAAAGAUCUGCAGUUGAAUGCUGUGUUCAAAACACUUGACCGCUUGUUUAAGCUAUAAAAGAGAAAUCUCAGGCCUGAUGCUGCCAUCUCUAGUUUGCUGAACUUUAAACAGGGAAAUUUUAAGCUGUGGAGCUGAGAUUUUCCAAGUAGUUACUGGGAAUACCCUGGAAAAUGCAUAGAAAGACUCUAACGUACUCUAUAUCUAAGCUGUCAUUUGAAGUCUACUGUUUGGAAUGCUUCCAGAGAGAGUUUUGUGCAAACCAGCACACUCACCAUCAAUGCUACAAUUCUCAUCUAAGGACUUGGCAGUCAUUUGUAAUGUAUGUGAUUCUUUUAACCAUUUAAUAACUCUUCUUUU